This is a long non-coding RNA of Amphiprion ocellaris (clown anemonefish), 1325 nucleotides long. RefSeq lists it as uncharacterized. NCBI's taxonomy places the organism in Eukaryota, Metazoa, Chordata, Actinopteri, Pomacentridae. The record is from RefSeq and is a predicted model, not a curated record. The transcript has 3 exons.
UAGUUUUAAAUGACAUCAGUUUCAUUAAUUUGUUGAAAAUUGUCUCAUUUGUUGUUGUGAUGUUGCUUCUGAUUCAUUAAAAGCAGAUGAUCCUUGUUGAAGAUACGUUUAGUUCUAGUAUCAGAAGUACAAGAAGGAAAAUUGAAGUUUAGUUCUGCUACAUCAAAGAUUUCAGGAUUAAAAUAACUGAGUCUUAAUGCCUCAAACUUUAUUUUUACAAUAAAGAAAUAAUGAAAUAAUCACAGAUAAUAAAAACAUAAAUAGCAGAGAAAAUCUGAGAGAAUAAUUUCCUGAAAAGUCUGUGAAGGAAAAGCAGCUUUUUAUUCUGAAAGAUCAGAAUCAGCUCCAACAUCUGCAUCUGACAGCAUCAAGUCAACCAGAAAGAAAAGAAAAAAGAAAAUGACUUCUUUCUGAUUACAUCUGUUCCGCUGCUCACAGGCUGCUGCUGCUCACAUUGUUCACAUUUAUAGUCCACUUUUAAAAGUUCAGCAGACAGGUGCUCUGCUUUGGAGUGUGAUGAUGUCAUCGGUGAUGUGGAGAGUGAAGUUUCCGUUUCACCCACAGCGUGCUUUAGGGCAGCCAGAGUGAAAGUAGCAAUUCCUCCUUAAGGUCAGAGAUUGCAGCAUCUGAGGGCCUCUUCAAAAGAAGACGUAGUUGAUGAAGGCGUUCUGGAGCAGGACCAGAAAGACCACGACCAAGCAGCCUUGAGAUCUUAGGCAGCGUCUCCCUCGGGUCCCUCUCUAUCUCCCCACACAUCCACCAACCACUGGAACACAUCUCCAAAGUUCUGCCGGGCCAGCUCAGCUUCCCCUCAGAAGAAGUUCCGCCAGAUGAAGGAGCCUUUUGAGAGGCAGCUGGCAUCGUGAUUGGACUGUACUUUGGUCUGUUCCAAUCCAGCUUCAGCUCCAGAGACGGCAGGCGGGACGAGUCAACGGAGGCCGGGUGGACGAAGGCAUGCAGCUGAGUACAAUCCAGAAAACAACAGAGGAGGAUUGCAGGGGCUCAGGGCCAGAACAGAGUAGCAUCGUAUGUCUCUUAGCAAACAUCAUAGUAUAGCCUUUGGUAUGAAAAAACGCCAUCAUAUACAUCGUAUAUUGUACAAAUAACAAGUCAAAAAGAAAGAGACAUACAUUGUAGAAUUGUAGUAAUUGUGGGCUGACUGAUUUACUGAUUAUCAGUAUUUUUUUUUUUUUACUGAUUUACGGUAAUAAAUACAUAUAAAAAUGGCGCUACUUUGGCUCUGAACCUUUAUCUACCUGUGGUCGCUCUGUCUUCUGGAGUGAUUUGAUUGGUUAUACGUCACAAAUAAAACUUCUUUAACUUAA